GGGAUGUCGCGGGUGAGUGGUGUCGAGGCCUGUUGGGUCAGGGCGGUUCGCAGGUGCUGUCAGAGCUGGGCGGGGCAGCCGGGUCGUAGAGGCGGGCGCCAGUCGCGGUCGGUGGAGAGGGAUGAGGAUGUAGGAGGGACGGACGUGGCGGAAGCCGCGGGGACUGCGGGGGCGGAGUGCCUCUGGGGAGCCAGGGAGGCCUUUCCAGAGGCUCCUGGGGGAAGAAGAGGCGAAGCGAGAGUCCCCGGGGAAGCCCUACUCCACCCCCAGCCGGAGCCUGGGUUGUGCCUGCACGGACCAGAGCCCACAGUGCGAGUUGCUGUAGGCAACCAGCUAGGGUGGCCAACUUCUCCCGGUUGGCCCGAGAUGUUCUGGUUUUGGGACCACAGCGUCCCAGGCCUCCAGCCCACCACAGUGACCAUAUUGUGCGCCCCCUGCCCAUCUUCUCCCGCAGCUUCCCUAGAUUAGGCUUGGGAGGCAAGGGGAGGCCUCCUGACUUUUCUCACUGCCUUCGUUAAUAUAAAGAUGAAGGCACACUCCACAACUUCCUUCUGGCCAGGCCCAGACAUGUCUGUCCUUGUGAGAUAAAAGCUUCCAUGGGAGCCUUCCUUCCUAAUCAAGAUGCAAAUAGUACGGUAUUCCGAACAGACACUAAAAAUAGCUGUCAUCUCAAAGAAUCCAGUGCUUGUGUCACAGUAUGAGAAAGUAGAUGCUGGGGAACAGCGUUUAAUGAAUGAAGCAUUCCAGCCAGCCAGUGAUCUCUUUGGACCUUGCAUUCUCCAUCAGAUUGGAUCACCUCCCACCCUGAGGCCCCCCAAGACUUUGAACAGUUCUUCAGUCAUCCUUACAGAAAGAUACCCUCUCCAGACAAACGCAGUAUUUAUAUACGGUCCAUUGGAUCUCUAUGAAGCACCAGAAUUAUCAGUGAAGAAUAUAUUAAAUGGCUCACGGGCUACUGUAAAGCAUAUUUCUAUCGCUUGAGAGUAAAACUGCUAGAACCAGUUCCUGUUUCUACAACAAGGUGUUCCUUUAGAGUCAAUGAGAACACACAAAACCUACAAAUUCAUGCAGGGGACAUCCUGAAGUUCUUGAAAAAGAAGAAACCUGAAGAUGCCUUCUGUGUUGUGGGAAUAACAAUGAUUGAUCUUUACCCAAGAGACUUGUGGAAUUUUGUCUUUGGACAGGCCUCUUUGACAGAUGGCACUGGUGAGGUGGAUUGAUGAUGAAUCUUCUGGCACACCUGGAGCAACUCCAGAACACAGUCGUGAGGAUAAUGGGAAUUUACUGAAACCCGUGGAAGGAAGCCUUUAAGGAAUGGAAAGAGUGGAUAAUAAAAUGCCUGACUGUUCUCCAAAAAUAAGGACCUUCAAAUAGGAGUGAUUGAAAUAAAUGACUACUUGCAUGUUAUGCUUUCAUUUGGGUGGAAUACUUCAUCAGAAUAAACUAUUGAUCUUGUGCUGUGUCAAAGUAACAGACUAGAACCUUCUUUCAAGUACCUGAAUUGAAAUGAAACUCAUUUUGAAUAAUAAAAACUCUAGAAACUCUUUA
Molecule: long non-coding RNA, 1548 nt
Organism: Homo sapiens (human)
Lineage: Eukaryota; Metazoa; Chordata; Mammalia; Primates; Hominidae
Gene: AMZ2P1
Product: AMZ2 pseudogene 1
Source: Ensembl